ACUCUCAGCCUCAGGGGAGCACUUCUCUGGCCUCUGGCUGUAAUCUAGGAGCCAAGGUCAGUGAAGAGGGCUGGCAGCCAAUAGUGAGCUUCCCCGGGGCCUGCGGGUCCAGCCAGGAUGUUCAGCAUUGCUGUGCUUGCUCCGUCUCCCAUAGAAGACUGGCUUUGAGAGCGCUGACAGUCACGUGGCCAUUUUUCUCUGCCAGCCGCAGCACUACAGUGUGAUUCGUAUUGGGCUCAGCUGGAACAGACCAAAAGAGGUAGGCGCACAGGGAUGAUGCGGAAACGGGUGCCUUCAGUCUCUUGAUGGCCCUGAUGAGGUCUUCUUGGCUGACAUCCUGUGCCUUCUUGCUCCUUCCUUUUAAUACCCGGUGAUGUAGUUCCUCCAGAGUCAUCAGGCCUCCGUUCCGGUGCUUCAGGGCCAGGCACACUUCGAUAAUUUGGACACCCAGCUCAUAAUAGAAAUCUCCCCCGCCUAGCA
Molecule: long non-coding RNA, 480 nt
Filed under: Lynx pardinus (Iberian lynx)
Lineage: Eukaryota; Metazoa; Chordata; Mammalia; Carnivora; Felidae
Source: RNAcentral